RNAcentral lists this unclassified non-coding RNA (253 nucleotides) under Hevea brasiliensis (rubber tree). Lineage: Eukaryota; Viridiplantae; Streptophyta; Magnoliopsida; Malpighiales; Euphorbiaceae. The record is from RNAcentral.
AAAAAAAAAAAAAAACCACCAUGACUAGUUACACUAGUAUCAUAACUUCCACUUUCGAAAAUAAUAAGAAUUCUUCAAAAACAACUUUUAAAUCACCAAGUGAAGACCCUAAUAAUUACUAAAACUAGGUUGAAACAGCGGAUAACAAGCUAUAUCUCAGCCAUGAACUUCUCUAAAAUGUAGAAGGGUAAAUACAGUUUUGAAUUAGGAGGAUCAGUUAAGAUUUGUACAUACUCCAAUAGUUCCACCAUAU